GUGGGGAAUAUUGGACAAUGGGCGAAAGCCUGAUCCAGCAACGCCGCGUGAGGGAUGACGGCCUUCGGGUUGUAAACCUCUUUCAGCAGGGACGAAGCGAAAGUGACGGUACCUGCAGAAGAAGGACCGGCCAACUACGUGCCAGCAGCCGCGGUAAUACGUAGGGUCCGAGCGUUGUCCGGAAUUAUUGGGCGUAAAGGGCUCGUAGGCGGUUUGUCACGUCGGGAGUGAAAACUCAGGGCUCAACCCUGAGCGUGCUUCCGAUACGGGCAGACUAGAGGUAUUCAGGGGAGAACGGAAUUCCUGGUGUAGCGGUGGAAUGCGCAGAUAUCAGGAGGAACACCGGUGGCGAAGGCGGUUCUCUGGGAAUUACCUGACGCUGAGGAGCGAAAGCAUGGGGAGCGAACAGGAUUAGAAACCCCGGUAGUCC
Molecule: ribosomal RNA, 430 nt
Filed under: uncultured bacterium
Lineage: Bacteria
Description: bacterial SSU rRNA
Rfam family: Bacterial small subunit ribosomal RNA
Source: RNAcentral